RNAcentral lists this ribosomal RNA (491 nucleotides) under uncultured bacterium. Its description in RNAcentral is "partial 16S ribosomal RNA". It matches the Rfam family "Bacterial small subunit ribosomal RNA", at positions 29 to 506 of the family's 1533-position model. The record is from RNAcentral.
AGUGAACGCUGGCGGUAGGCCUAACACAUGCAAGUCGAACGGCAGCACAGUAAGAGCUUGCUCUUACGGGUGGCGAGUGGCGGACGGGUGAGGAAUACAUCGGAAUCUACUUUUUCGUGGGGGAUAACGUAGGGAAACUUACGCUAAUACCGCAUACGACCUACGGGUGAAAGCAGGGGAUCUUCGGACCUUGCGCGAUUGAAUGAGCCGAUGUCGGAUUAGCUAGUUGGCGGGGUAAAGGCCCACCAAGGCGACGAUCCGUAGCUGGUCUGAGAGGAUGAUCAGCCACACUGGAACUGAGACACGGUCCAGACUCCUACGGGAGGCAGCAGUGGGGAAUAUUGGACAGUGGGCGCAAGCCUGAUCCAGCCAUACCGCGUGGGUGAAGAAGGCCUUCGGGUUGUAAAGCCCUUUUGUCGGGAAAGAAAAGCAGCAGGUUAAUACCCCGCUGUUCUGACGGUACCCAAAGAAUAAGCACCGGCUAACUUCGU